Molecule: long non-coding RNA, 4072 nt
Filed under: Salmo salar (Atlantic salmon)
Lineage: Eukaryota; Metazoa; Chordata; Actinopteri; Salmoniformes; Salmonidae
Description: lncRNA (ENSSSAG00000083808.1)
Source: RNAcentral
GCCUUACUCUAAAAUGUAUUAAAUCGUUUUUUCCACUCAUCUACACACAAUACCCCAUAAUGACAAAGCAAAAACAGGUUGAGUGGUCAGAACGCUCGGAUCAACUUGUGCCUCUGAGAGCGAAAUGCUCUGAAUUUAUUAAAGGACAAUCUGACUCUGACUCUCCAAUACUCUGAAUUUACAAAUGCCCAGAGCACACUCUGAGUGUCCCUGGCACUCCAGAUUGAAUUUACGAGGUUAUGUGAGGUUUUAUGUGUUGUUGUUGGAGGUGCGUCUUGGUCAGUUUAGCUCAGAAAAUGCUGCCCUCCUCAAUGGCCCCCUAAUCGUGCCUAAUUAGCGGGCCGACCGUGGUUACUCAUCAUUUAACAUCUAAACAGCCCUUGCCCAAAAUGCCAGAUGGCCAGGCCACCCCUGGUGGGCAGGGCUAAAACAAUGGUAUCUGAGCCUGCGCGCUGGCCUCUGUUCGCCGAUAGACGAGACCACCUCGCUGCUUUUUUGCUACAGCUAGAACAAGUCGUAUAAUUUACUGAUAUUAAAUUAUAUCAGCAAUUUCAACCGUAACAACAAUAUUUUACAAUGGCUAGGUACAUGAGGCCCCCUAACCCAUCACUCUUCAUUAGAAACAUCUCCGACGAAUCCAGGCCAGAGGAACUACGCCGUGAAUUUGGUCGUUAUGGGCCUAUUGUAGAUGUCUACAUUCCACUUGACUUCUCUACACGGCGACCAAGAGGAUUUGCUUACAUUCAAUAUCCUUUAUACUCAUGUAAUGUAUUAAUGAACAUGUCUUUCAUUCGGUGCAUUAUUAUUAUUCACACGUGGGGUCAUAUUGACAAUGUCACACGUCUUGAGUUUGCCUACUGUUUUGAAGUAUCGUAUAUUUGUCAUAAAAGUAGGCUAUACUGGUUUAUGGGAGGGGAACAUUGAAUGUUGUUAAACACAGUAAAAUGUGUACAGACAUGAAUCAACAUCUCCUCUUCUAACUAAAAUUGCUUCUGUUACCCUAGAAAUGUUAGACGUACAGUUCUGGAGAAACCCCAACAAAGAAUGUAAAGACUGGUGUAGUGUAGUUUCAAGCCAAAGGGACCAUAAUGAUUUCAGGCAACAGGAAAUAGUGGGAGAAGAACACAAAGAGCAAAGUUAAAGCACGAAGAUACAAGGAGGCGAAAAGAGGGCACGAAGGCAGCCGUUUGUCUACCAAAGAAAGGAAAAUAAAAGGAUGUAUUGGGCGAAGACAAGCCGGAAAUCUCAAGUUCUUCUGCCAAGCAGUUAAAGAGCAUAAAGGUCAAGCUGAAGCUCAAAGGUCAAGCAUGUUAAAGGUAACAAGCUUAAUGUUUUGUAUCCUACCAAAUAGAACCCUUGCUCUUCACCUCCAGACAUUUUUGCUCUGUGUGUUCUGUGUACGAAAGGGCAAGACAAUUCUAACUUUAAUUGUAAGAAAGUUUACUGAAAUAAGAUUUCAAUGUUGCAUUUGUAUGGCCUUUGUUCUCGUUUCCUCACGAAAUUUGAACAGACGUUUCAGCUUCAUGUUUUUAAUCUUUUAGCUUACUAUUAUCCCAUGUUGGCACACAAUUGACUUAGCAAUUUGAAGCGUCCAGCCUCUUUACUGAAUUUUUUUAAUACUUUCGUAGUUGUAUGUGUGCAUACAUGUCUCCCCAUUUCCACAAGUGAAAGUAAAAAGCCUUAAGUCUGUAGCACAUUCGAGGACGUGCGAGAUGCAGAGGAUGCCCUCCACAACCUGGACCACAAGUGGGUGUGUGGUCGACAGAUCGAGAUCCAGUUUGCACAGGGUGACCGAAAAACCCCCAACCAGAUGAAGACUAAGGAGAGCUCUCCUCGCAGAGGGUCCCGCAGCAGCUCCUUCUCCCGCUAUGACGACUACGAACGCGGCGAUGGCCGACGCAGACGCUCUCGCAGUCGCAGCUAUGAAAGGCGCCGGUCACGCAGCCCUUCCUGCGACCGCCGUCCUCGGAGGUCGGAGAGCCCUAGAGACUCUCGAUCAUAUGGCAGGCACAGGCGAAGCAGAAGCCAUGAAAAUGACAGGUACAGGGGCCCUCCACGUGAACACCACAGGAUGCACCACGCACCCCCGUCUCGUAACCGCUCCGCAUCCCGCUCCCCCUCUCCUCCCAGAUCCAGGCCCAAAGACACAAAGUCUCAGUCCAAAUCCCCCAGCCCCGUCAAGGACUUCCACCCCUCUUCUGGCUCCCAGAAACAGGCCUGUCGACGCUCCUACUCCAGAUCUGUGUCCCGAUCUCGCUCCAGAUCCUAGGACCCCACCACCUUCAAACCCUGUUAUUCUGUAGCUAAAGGUGUUUUUGUUCAACACUACAACAUAUGAAUAUGGUAUCUAGGGAGUGGUUAUUACACACCCCACCUCGGUUCAUUAGUUGAGUUAACAUGAUAUCUCUGGGCUGAUGCCAUACAACAGGAGAGCUGGUUGUCCCUACAGAUGGAUAGUACUUUUUUAUGUUAGUUCAGUUUCAUUCACCUCUGAAAAACAUUGGCUGUCUUCAAUUUACAUUCAUAUCGGUUUAAUUCUAUUAAUUGAGAACCCAAUGGAUUUAAGUUCAGCACAUAAGAAUUGGUCAACUAUGAAAUGCAAAUGUACAGUUUUGGGCUAACGGGUAUUAACCUCUGGCUACAGAAGAGGUUAAGAGUCCAAAAACCCAUUUAUAAGAAAAGAGAAGUUAUAAAUCUGGAGUUAGCAGCGAUAUCUAGCCAUCAAGUUAACUGCUAUUAUUUUUGUACAUUUGAUGUUGCUAAAAUCUCCUGCAUUUAUUUUUUUUGUUGAUCAAUUGUUAUUUUUUGUGUUCAAAUCGAGCAGCAGUGUUUUCUUUUUGUGGAUUAAAAAUGUUAUGUUUUAACUUUUCUAAUCAUCCGAGUUGUACAAAGAUGUCGCUCCCUUGAAAGUAUGAGACACCGGACAGUUUGUUAGGGACACCUAUCCAUUACUGUGUUGCCCCACCCCCCCCUUCCCCUCCAGAACAGCCAGUAUUCUUCGGGCCGUUCUACAAGGUGUCAGUAGUGUUCCACAGGGAUUUUGGACCUUGCUGGUGCAAUGGCAUCUCGCAGAUUGGAGACAUCACGCAAACAUUCAUGCUGCGAACAGCCCGUUCAAUCUCAUCCCAAAGAUGCUCUAAGUAAAAUGAACUCGCUGUCAUGUUCCAGGUGCUGUUUUUCCACUCAGUUGUCCAGUGUUGGUGAUCGUGUGCCCACUGGAGGCGCUUCUUCUUCUUGUUUUUAACUUAUAGGAGUGGAACCCGGUGUGGUUGUCUGCUGUAUAGCCCAUCAGUGACAAGCAUCAACAAGUUGUGCAUUCUGAGAUUCCGUUCUCCGUCGAUUAGGUUACUCGUUUUGUCCAUCCUAACGUUCAAUUUAACAAUGUCUCGAUGCAUGCUUUAUAUAGCAAGCCACGGUUUGUAGGAGCGAUCAAUUUUUUGGGUGAGCUGGGUGGUUUACCAAAUAAAAGUAUUGUUGGAUAGGUUUAAUUCUGUCUGACUUCUUACCUGUAAAGUUUUAAAAUGUACCCUAUUGGUAAUAUUUUUUUGUGUAAUAUACACUACAUGACCAAAAGUAUGUGGCCAUCUGCUCUUCGAACAUCUCAUUCCAAAAUCAUGGUCAUUAAUAUGGAGUUGGUACCCCCCCUUUGCUGCUAUAACAGCCUCCACUCUUCAGAGAAGACUUUCCACUAGAUUUUGGAAGAUUGCUGCAGGGACUUCAAUUCAGCCAUGUGCAUUAGUGAGGUUGGGUGAUUAGGUCUGGCUCGCAUUCGGCGUUCCAAUUAAUCUCAAAGGUUUUUGAUGGGGUUGAGGCCAGGGCUCGUGCAGCCCAGUCAAAUUCUUCCACACAGAUCUCGACAAACCGUUUCUCUAUGGAUCUCGCUUUGUGCAUGGGGGCAUUGUCAUGCUGAAACAAGAAAGGGCCUUCCCCAAACUGUUGCCACAAAGUUGGAAGCACAGAAUCAUCUAGAAUGUCAUUGUAUGCUGUAGUGUUAAGAUUUCCCUUCACUGGAGUUAAGGGGGCCUAGCUGGAACCAUUAUUCCUCCUCCACCAAACCUUACAGUUGGCGCUA